This 309-nucleotide long non-coding RNA is filed under the name Chinchilla lanigera (long-tailed chinchilla). Its description in RNAcentral is "lncRNA (ENSCLAG00000029228.1)". Lineage: Eukaryota; Metazoa; Chordata; Mammalia; Rodentia; Chinchillidae. The record is from RNAcentral.
UUCAAACCUUUAAGGAUAAAAACAAUUAUUUACAUAUGUUUUGUGUUUCCAGAUUUGACUCCCAAAUAAGUAUAAUUCAUAUCCUGCUGGGUCUGGAUCCCAUGAGGAGAGGUCUGUGAAAUGCAGAUGGGUGAGAGUGUGAAGAAAUGAAGAGAAAAGACUGGGAGAAAAAAAAAGAGAAGGGAAGGAUAGCUAUCAAGCAAGUCCUGCUGUAAUACAAAGAGGAAGGAACAGCAGCAUCAAGCAGUGUAGCAGGUAUCUCCCAUCACCCACUCAAGCAAAGUUUCUUAAACAUCAACUGUAUAUCAA